Molecule: ribosomal RNA, 460 nt
Filed under: uncultured bacterium
Lineage: Bacteria
Description: bacterial SSU rRNA
Rfam family: Bacterial small subunit ribosomal RNA
Source: RNAcentral
AUUGAACGCUGGCGGCAUGCUUUACACAUGCAAGUCGAACGGCAGCGCGGGGGCAACCCUGGCGGCGAGUGGCGAACGGGUGAGUAAUGUAUCGGAACGUAUCCUGUAAUGGGGGAUAACCAGUCGAAAGAUUGGGUAAUACCGCAUACGCACGAGAGUGGAAAGUAGGGGAUCGCAAGACCUUACGUUAUAGGAGCGGCCGAUAUCUGAUUAGCUAGUUGGUGGGGUAAAGGCCUACCAAGGCGAAGACGGGUAGGGGGCCUGAGAGGGUGGUCCCCCACAUGGGAACUGAGACACGGUCCCAACUCCUACGGGAGGCAGCAGUAAGGAAUAUUGCACAAUGGGCGCAAGCCUGAUGCAGCAACGCCGCGUGCCCGAGGACGGCCUCGGUUGUAAAGGGCGUUUCUGGCUGACGAGGAAGGACGGUAGGCCGAGGAAUAAGCGUCGGCGUAACUACGUG